Molecule: long non-coding RNA, 911 nt
Organism: Bombus huntii
Lineage: Eukaryota; Metazoa; Arthropoda; Insecta; Hymenoptera; Apidae
Exons: 3
Source: RefSeq, a predicted model, not a curated record
UGGCGUUGAAACGGUUAACGUAACUGCGCGUACGACCGUCGAAUGGCAAAGAUAUUCAAGCUGAGAAUCGUUUUCAGAUGUUACAAACAGCUGUGUUGACUUUCAAGGAGAAACCAUUCGACAUGAUCUUACGUUUGAGCCGGGACCUUCGGUUUGCAGUUUCUGCACCUGCUAUAAUUCGAGGCUGAAGUGGUGCCAGUCGAUCGUAUGCAACCCGCCCGUAGAUCUUCCUUGUUGUUACGCCGCCUAAAACAUCUGCACGCCAGCCCGCGCCAGCUCGCACCACCGGACAACAACCAGCCUGCGUAACGUCACUUCGACCCUCAAUAAACCUAAGGACCCACCAUAACUUUCACUUCCCUUCGGUUUUUAGAGAGGUCCUUGGGUUUAUUAGACGUACUUAAAACACGGAGAAAACGGGUAUGCACCCAUUAGGAAAAUCCGAAUAGCCCUCUAAUAAAACAAGCUAUGUUUUCCUCACGCACACAGUCAUCUAUCCACCACGAUGGUAGGAGACUUCCUACUCAUCCCUUCGAGCAGUAGUGCAGGUCAUGACCAAUCGACACCGCGGUUCGUUACCCUCACUUUUCCUAACGAAAGUGGGGACAACGAAUCCGCGUUCUUUAGGCACAGGGGCAUACCCACACCGAACUUUUCUUCUGUAUUAGAAAAAGAGCGACAGUCAGUCUAAAAACUAACGCCUAACGCGGCAGUCUACACAUAGCGCGAGAGUCGCAUACUUUACGAAAAUCUUUUGUCGGUUCUCGGUGUUGUCGAACAUACAUCUUCUCUCCUAAAUAUAUUAUAGUGCUAAGUACAUUAAUACAUUAAUCUCCAUUAUAAGAGCCCUGCUCUAGCGUACAUAUCUAUCACAUCUUCGUGCGACAAGUUGUUAACUAUUUAUUUCUCUA